UAUAAAAAAUAAAAAAACCUACCCAAAAACGGCCCUGUAGACAAGAAUAUAAAAAUAAGUACGGCCCUAUCAAAAACUGCUGGAACUUUUGUUUAUUGACAGAAAUAGCGCAGCUGGCCUGAACUGUGACACACUAUUAGAGGUUAACAUUUUAUUAUAUUUUACUCUUUAGAGUUAAUGAAUUACAAUUUGUGUGAAUUUUAAAUCAUGAGUUACGUAUUGGAAAAGGAAGAUAAAUUUAAAGGUUAACGGCCGAUUUUUUUUAAUUAGUGUGGUUUAGUGCGAGUGUUAUUUAUAAGUCUUAUCAAUAAAGCGUUAUAAUAACUCUAAUAUUAAUAAAAAUGCCGCCACGAAGAAGAUCUAAUCUCUCUCGAUAUAGCCGUAAUACAAUGAGACAACGUAAAAUUAGGAAACAAUUCACUGAAGAACAACGAAAAAUCAUACGAGAAAGGAGUCGAAUUGGCAUGGCCCGACUUCGUGAAUCUCAAACAGAAGAGCAAAGAGCGACAGCCCGUGAAAAGGGUCGGUUGCUAAUGAAGAAACGUCGAACUAAACUCAAAUAUGAACAACGAAAAAAUCUUCUACGCGCAAGCAUUGGGCCAAUGGACGUGGUCUGCAAGUAUUGUGGUGCAUUGAAGUGUGCUGAAGAAAUGCCUGGAUCAUGUUGCUUUAAUGGCAAAGUCGAAUUCUCAUUAUUAACUCCACCAUCUGAUCCAUUGCAUUCAUUGACUAGUGAUGAAACACCCAAAUCACAACAUUAUCUAGGAAGCACUCAAAACUACAAUGGUUUUCCAGUGAUUUCACUUGAGGCAGAUGCAGAGCAUUUAUUUCACAACGAUGAUCACCAUGAACCACAUCACCACUUGAAACAUGAAUCUGCUGAAGAGCAAUGUGAUGAAGAAGAUGUAAAGGGAUGGGUCAAAGUGGAGCAUCCUGAUGGCUGGACCCAAAUUGUUCCUUACACUGUUAAUAAACAUAAUGAAUUCGACGCUGACGUCUGAAGAAUUUUUCAGCUAUUCUUCAGACUUCAGAAUGUUGCAGAUGUUCCUAUGAAGUUUAGCACCAAAAAUAUAACUUGAAGGCUGUUAAAUAAGCACCACCCAAAGUAUGAAUUCAAAUAUGGUGUCGCGGACCACCAUACCCACGACAUGAAGUCUGCCGAAGAGGAACGCGACGGAGAUGUCGUCAAGGGAUGGUACAAACUGGAACAGCCCGAUGGCAGGACCCGUAUUGUUCAUUACACUGCCGAUAAACACAACGGCUUCAACGCUGAUGUGAAAUUUUCCGGUCAUGCUGACCAUCCUCAUCAUUAUUAAAUGAUUGUUACAGUUGUAUUGUAUUCAAAGGUGAUAACUAUGUCAAUUAAUUAAUAUGGUAGGGUAUUAUUGAAAAUGAACCAUUAAUAUAAUGUCAAAUAAAACUUGUGUUAAUAAGACGACAAAAA
Dalotia coriaria is the source of this 1444-nucleotide long non-coding RNA. RefSeq lists it as uncharacterized. Lineage: Eukaryota; Metazoa; Arthropoda; Insecta; Coleoptera; Staphylinidae. The transcript is spliced from 3 exons. The record is from RefSeq and is a predicted model, not a curated record.